RNAcentral lists this long non-coding RNA (230 nucleotides) under Elaeis guineensis (African oil palm). RNAcentral's name for it is "long non-coding RNA (EGUI_LNC020048)". The record is from RNAcentral. Lineage: Eukaryota; Viridiplantae; Streptophyta; Magnoliopsida; Arecales; Arecaceae.
UCCACCACCAAAAAGACCUGCAGGUAGGCCAAGAUUUGAUGAGGUUAUGCAACAACUAUGCUAAAUAUAUUUUAUACCCUUUUAAGCUUUUAUAUGUUUGAUACUAUUUAACUUUAUUAUGGUAGGGAGGAGCUAUUGCAAAAAGAUGAAGACUACCCAUAAAGAGAAGAAUAGAGUAACUGCUAGCUACUGGACCUAUUGAGCAACAAUAUGAUAAAAGAACCAUUGAA